AUCUUGGAGAUGGAGGAAAGCUUGCCAGAACAACUGCACACCCCAUCCACUCCUCAUGUUCUCAGUUUGUUCUUCUCUGUGAUACAACCAGCAUCAUGAGAACAGCCAGCAGCAGCUCCAGCGUGAUGAAAUUUUCACUCCUUGACAAGUGUAAGAAGCCGAAAAACUAUGCCCAGCCAGAAGUUCUGUGUCACACCUUUGAGGUGCUGUCUAACCUCCACAAGCUGCUUCCGAAUCACCUGGUGGAGAUGCUUUAUUCCCACAAGAGGGAAGAGGACAAGAAAAAAUGUGAGAAUCCUGAACUCUCUGGCUUAGAAAGAAUCUUAGCAAGACAUCAGUUGCCAAAAGAGAUUAAUCUGACCCCAAAGCCGAACAGAAUGCCCCCGUGGAAAAGAAAAAUCAUCAACAAUGUAACUGACAGGUGGAAGAAAUGUCACUUGUUGAAGAGAAACACGAAAGAGCCUCCAAUGUCCACCAUAGUUGUCAGAACAUGCAACCCACUGAAGACCUCAAGUCAGUGAUCUGUAGGCUGUCAGCAUUUGGUCCAAUUCAGUCAGUCACUGUUUGUGGACAUCAAAGUGCUAUAGUGGCAUUCAAAGACAUG
This 604-nucleotide small RNA is filed under the name Pan troglodytes (chimpanzee). RNAcentral's name for it is "processed transcript". The record is from RNAcentral. Lineage: Eukaryota; Metazoa; Chordata; Mammalia; Primates; Hominidae.